Long non-coding RNA from Bubalus bubalis (water buffalo), 1763 nucleotides. RefSeq lists it as uncharacterized. Lineage: Eukaryota; Metazoa; Chordata; Mammalia; Artiodactyla; Bovidae. The transcript is spliced from 5 exons. The record is from RefSeq and is a predicted model, not a curated record.
GGAUUCAUCUGCAGAUGAAGAGAACGUGUGAACUUCCUUACGGUUUCCCAUCAACCCUUUCCUGGGUUCAUCUCUGCCUCUUCGUCUUAUUCAGGCUGCCAGGCUUUUCUCUUCCAUUCUGGCUGUGUGAGAGACACCCUUCUUCAAGGACAAUCUUCAUCUCUACCUCCUCUGUAAACCCUUCCUACUUCCUACCAACCCUCCCGUCCUCCUCCACAUUUCUGUGUUCACUCACCUCCAGAUCCAUGACUACUGUGGGCGGUCGUUUACACUUUUUAGUGCGUCUUCACAGCUAACUUCAGACUGUUUCAAGCUAACAACAGUGAUGACUUCAGGAAUAAGGUCCUGCACUUCAGAUUUUUAUGUACCCUGACUCAGAUACGUGCUUCUUCUGAACUUGUAACCCGAGGUAUCAGUAAGAGUCCAUGCAGCAAAUAGAUGGCAAAUUCCAAGUGAAGGAAGCCUACAUUUGUUCCUACUGGAAGAUGAAGAGAACUUGAUUCUUUACUGCUGAGCCACCAGAGAGCCGGUAAAAUCACGUUUCACAGAGGGCCUAAGGAGCUCCCCACAGCUCUUCCCUCGUUCCCUCCUCCACAGAGGAAUGCGCUGACUGAAGCCCUCUCACAGAAGCGUCUGUGUUACUUCACAUGAGGUCCUAACAUCUGUGAGAACCUUUCCAGUGAAGAGCUGUCACUUCUCCUCAGUGUUAACCCUCUGCCUGCAUCUUUGAUUCUAAUACCCAACAGAAGUUGCCUUAUAUACCUCCUCUUGAAUUACUAUUAUCAGUUUUUAUUGAUUAAAUUUUACUUCAUUCCUUCGAAAGUAAAAGAAAGUGAAAGUCACAUCCAACUCUCCAUGGAAUUCUCUAGGCUAGAACACUGGAGUGGAUAGCCUUUCCCUUCUCCAGGGGAUCUUCCCAGCCCAGGAAUCAAACCCAGGUCUCCUGUAUUGCAGGCAGAUUCUUUACCAGAUGAGCCACCAGGGAAAUCCAAGAAUACUGGAGUGGGUAGCUUAUCCACUCUCCAGCAGAAAUCCCGACCCAGGAACCGAACCGGAGUCUCCUGCAUUGCAGGCAGAUUCUUUACCAACUGAGCUAUAAGGAAAGCCCAAAGGCAGCUUUUUACCACCUGUCACUCUCCCUACAGCUGUUAUCAUCUUUACUUCUGCUGAAUAUCUGGAAUGAAUGCUAAUUAUCACCAUUUUCUCACCACUCAUUUUUCCUGUUUAUAAAGGUCUUAAUUUUUGCUAUUUAAUGAGUAUCUCCAGUGAUUUUCCAACCACUAAGUUCAGUGGCCCUCGUUUCCCAUUAUUCUGACAUUGAACUUUGCACUUGGUUGAAUCUCUCAAUAACUUAUGUUCAUUUUCCUCUGUGAAAUGUGACUCUUUCUCUUCAGCUUAGAUUUUGUUUUUACUAUUCCUGAACUUUAAUCACUGUCUUAUGCCUCAGAACUCUGCUUUUCCCUGUAUACACUCACCCCUUGGAGAAUUUAGCGAUGGACUUGAUUUUAGACAUUAUACCUUUGCUGAAUUUAAUUCCUAAUAAGUAUUUUCGGUCUUGCCCUCUAACCUGAGCAGAGCAUCUAGAACAAAUAAAUACACAAUAAACAUUCACUAUUUACUGAGUGAACAUAUAGGUAAACCCAGCAUGAACUUAUAUAUAUAUAUUUGUAAGAAUGACAAUUUUUAAUGCUUAAGUUGAGAAAACUUUCAACAGAAGAAUGAUAUUAGAAAUAAAAUGAUUUUCUGCCAACUUUCUCAGAAAA